RNAcentral lists this ribosomal RNA (466 nucleotides) under uncultured bacterium. Its description in RNAcentral is "bacterial SSU rRNA". It matches the Rfam family "Bacterial small subunit ribosomal RNA", at positions 355 to 825 of the family's 1533-position model. The record is from RNAcentral.
UAGGGAAUAUUGGACAAUGGGUGAGAGCCUGAUCCAGCCAUGCCGCGUGCAGGAAGAAGGCGUUAUGCGUUGUAAACUGCUUUUGCCAGGGGAUAAAAUGACCGUGCGCGGUUAAUUGAAGGUACCUGGUGAAUAAGCCACGGCUAACUACGUGCCAGCAGCCGCGGUAAUACGUAGGUGGCAAGCGUUGUCCGGAUUUAUUGGGUUUAAAGGGUGCGUAGGUGGCCCUGUAAGUCAGUGGUGAAAUAUCUCAGCUUAACUGAGAGGGUGCCAUUGAUACUGCAGGGCUUGAGUACAGAUGAGGUAGGCGGAAUUGACGGUGUAGCGGUGAAAUGCAUAGAUAUCGUCAAGAACACCGAUAGCGAAGGCAGCUUACCAAGCUGUAACUGACACUGAGGCACGAAAGUGUGGGGAUCAAACAGGAUUAGAUACCCAAGUAGUCCCUGAGCGGGCUGGCAAGGCGCAU